UACGAAGGGGGCGAGCGUUGUUCGGAAUCACUGGGCGUAAAGGGCGCGUAGGCGGCGCGGUAAGCGUGCGGUGAAAGCCCGGGGCUCAACCCCGGGUCGGCCGUGCGGACUGCCGGGCUGGAGCACUGUAGAGGCAGGUGGAAUUCCGGGUGUAGCGGUGGAAUGCGUAGAGAUCCGGAAGAACACCGGUGGCGAAGGCGGCCUGCUGGGCAGUAGCUGACGCUGAAGCGCGACAGCGUGGGGAGCAAACAGG
This 253-nucleotide ribosomal RNA is filed under the name uncultured bacterium. RNAcentral describes it as "partial 16S ribosomal RNA". It matches the Rfam family "Bacterial small subunit ribosomal RNA", at positions 524 to 776 of the family's 1533-position model. The record is from RNAcentral.